AGGGAAAUAGCUCAGUGGUGGAGCACAUGCUUAGCAUCCAUGAGGUUCUGGGUUCAAUGCCCAGUACCUCUA
RNAcentral lists this transfer RNA (72 nucleotides) under Camelus bactrianus (Bactrian camel). It matches the Rfam family "tRNA". Rfam says of the family: Transfer RNA (tRNA) molecules are approximately 80 nucleotides in length. Their secondary structure includes four short double-helical elements and three loops (D, anti-codon, and T loops). The record is from Rfam by way of RNAcentral. Lineage: Eukaryota; Metazoa; Chordata; Mammalia; Artiodactyla; Camelidae. RNAcentral also lists the same sequence under 2 other names.